RNAcentral lists this ribosomal RNA (301 nucleotides) under uncultured bacterium. RNAcentral describes it as "partial 16S ribosomal RNA". It matches the Rfam family "Bacterial small subunit ribosomal RNA", at positions 509 to 807 of the family's 1533-position model. The record is from RNAcentral.
CAGUCGCCACGGGAAUACGUAGGUGGCAAGCGUUGUCCGGAAUUAUUGGGCGUAGAGGGCUCGCAGGCGGUUUCUUAAGUCUGAUGUGAAAGCCCCCGGCUCAACCGUGGAGGGUCAUUGGAAACUGGGAAACUUGAGUGCAGAAGAGGAGAGUGGAAUUCCACGUGUAGCGGUGAAAUGCGUAGAGAUGUGGAGGAACACCAGUGGCGAAGGCGACUCCCUGGUCUGUAACUGACGCUGAGGAGCGAAAGCGUGGGGAGCGAACAGGAUUAGAUACCCCUGUAGUCCCUGUCUCUUAUAC